This 837-nucleotide ribosomal RNA is filed under the name uncultured bacterium. RNAcentral describes it as "bacterial SSU rRNA". It matches the Rfam family "Bacterial small subunit ribosomal RNA", at positions 54 to 898 of the family's 1533-position model. The record is from RNAcentral.
CAUGCAAGUCGAGCGAUGAAAUUUUGACAGAUCCCUUCGGGGUGAAGAUAAAAUGGAUUAGCGGCGGACGGGUGAGUAACACGUGAGUAACCUGCCUUAGACAUUGGGAUAGCCUCGGGAAACCGGGAUUAAUACCGAAUAAAAUCACAGAUACACAUGUAUCCAUGAUCAAAACUCCGGUGGUCUAAGAUGGACUCGCGUCCCAUUAGCUAGUUGGUGAGGUAACGGCCCACCAAGGCGACGAUGGGUAGCCGGCCUGAGAGGGUGAACGGCCACAUUGGAACUGAGAAACGGUCCAAACUCCUACGGGAGGCAGCAGUGGGGAAUAUUGCACAAUGGAGGGAACUCUGAUGCAGCGACGCCGCGUGAACGAAGAAGGCUUUCGAGUCGUAAAGUUCUUUUAUAUGGGAAGAUAAUGACGGUACCAUAAGAAAAAGCCCCGGCUAACUACGUGCCAGCAGCCGCGGUAAUACGUAGGGGGCUAGCGUUGUCCGGAAUCACUGGGCGUAAAGGGUUCGCAGGCGGAAAUGCAAGUCAGAUGUAAAAGGCAGUAGCUUAACUACUGUAAGCAUUUGAAACUGCAUAUCUUGAGAAGAGUAGAGGUAAGUGGAAUUUUUAGUGUAGCGGUGAAAUGCGUAGAUAUUAAAAAGAAUACCGGUGGCGAAGGCGACUUACUGGGCUCAUUCUGACGCUGAGGAACGAAAGCGUGGGUAGCAAACAGGAUUAGAUACCCUGGUAGUCCACGCUGUAAACGAUGAGUGCUAGGUGUCGGCUUAAGUCGGUGCCGCAGUUAACACAAUAAGCACUCCGCCUGGGGAGUACGUGCGCAAGCAUGAA